UGGGGUAUAGCUCAGUGGUAGAGUACAUGCCUCGCAUGCCUGAGGUCCUGAGUUCAAUCCCCAGCACCUCCA
This 72-nucleotide transfer RNA is filed under the name Camelus dromedarius (Arabian camel). It matches the Rfam family "tRNA". From Rfam's summary of the family: Transfer RNA (tRNA) molecules are approximately 80 nucleotides in length. Their secondary structure includes four short double-helical elements and three loops (D, anti-codon, and T loops). The record is from Rfam by way of RNAcentral. RNAcentral also lists the same sequence under 1 other name. Lineage: Eukaryota; Metazoa; Chordata; Mammalia; Artiodactyla; Camelidae.